RNAcentral lists this ribosomal RNA (434 nucleotides) under uncultured Bifidobacterium sp. RNAcentral's name for it is "bacterial SSU rRNA". It matches the Rfam family "Bacterial small subunit ribosomal RNA", at positions 349 to 782 of the family's 1533-position model. The record is from RNAcentral. Lineage: Bacteria; Bacillati; Actinomycetota; Actinomycetes; Bifidobacteriales; Bifidobacteriaceae.
CAGCAGUGGGGAAUAUUGCACAAUGGGCGCAAGCCUGAUGCAGCGACGCCGCGUGCGGGAUGGAGGCCUUCGGGUUGUAAACCGCUUUUGUUCAAGGGCAAGGCACGGUCUUUGGCCGUGUUGAGUGGAUUGUUCGAAUAAGCACCGGCUAACUACGUGCCAGCAGCCGCGGUAAUACGUAGGGUGCAAGCGUUAUCCGGAUUUAUUGGGCGUAAAGGGCUCGUAGGCGGUUCGUCGCGUCCGGUGUGAAAGUCCAUCGCUUAACGGUGGAUCCGCGCCGGGUACGGGCGGGCUUGAGUGCGGUAGGGGAGACUGGAAUUCCCGGUGUAACGGUGGAAUGUGUAGAUAUCGGGAAGAACACCAAUGGCGAAGGCAGGUCUCUGGGCCGUUACUGACGCUGAGGAGCGAAAGCGUGGGGAGCGAACAGGAUUAGA